UAUAGUCUAAUGUACCAGAUUUAGACGGCCGUAUGUAGUUUAAUUUACAUUAACGAGAUGAAGCAAGCAAUCAAGUAACUAUGAAGAAGUUACUAGUUAGGGAGUUAUUUAACAUAAACAGAUAAAGUAUCUUCUUAUUCACUAAAACAUUAAAUUUCAGGGAGUUCAUAAUAAUUUCCCAUCCCAUUGAAACAACCAACUCAGGCAUCUUCCAGUUUAUAGUGUUCGCAAAACCCAAAACGACAAAACAGAAGUCAAUUUCGACAUGAGGAGACGCACACGGCACAAGUCAGCAACCGCAGUCAAAAUGACAAUAAACAACACAACAACUCGACUCUUCCCUCUUCCCUCUUCCCUCUUCCCUCUUCCCUUCCUCUGUCUUAAAUAUCCUGUCGUUUUCCGUACAAAUUAAAUUAGCUUUUGCUUUUGAAUUAUGAUUUGUGGUCACGACGCCGUUUUGGGGACGUAAUGAUGCCUUUCCAUUUUCUUUCUGUGGAUUCCAUUCCUUUUCUUUCUACUUGCUAAAACAACUUUCUCUCAUUCUUUUCUUUACCUGUACACUUUUUCUUCCUAAUCCUCUAUAUGAAAAGAAAGGAAAGUUAAUAAAAUUAUUUUAAAAAUGGAAUUAUAAAAAAAAAAUUACUAAAAAAAGCACUUUUUUCCUUAAGUACUUAUUAUUAGA
Molecule: long non-coding RNA, 682 nt
Filed under: Citrus sinensis (sweet orange)
Lineage: Eukaryota; Viridiplantae; Streptophyta; Magnoliopsida; Sapindales; Rutaceae
Description: long non-coding RNA (CSIN_LNC001060)
Source: RNAcentral